Molecule: unclassified non-coding RNA, 151 nt
Organism: Callithrix jacchus (white-tufted-ear marmoset)
Lineage: Eukaryota; Metazoa; Chordata; Mammalia; Primates; Cebidae
Rfam family: Metazoan signal recognition particle RNA
About the family: The signal recognition particle (SRP) is a universally conserved ribonucleoprotein. It is involved in the co-translational targeting of proteins to membranes.
Source: Ensembl
GCCAGGCGUGGUGGUACUUGCCUGUAAUCCCAGCUACACAGGAGGCUGAGGCAGGAGAAUUGCUUGAACCCAGGAGUUGGAGGUUGCAGUGAGGCCAGAUCAUGUUACUGCACCCCUCCAGCCUGGGUGACAGAGUGAGACUCUGUCUCUU